AUGGCCGCCUUCGCUCCCGCGCUGCUGCUCCUCCUCCUCGCGGCGGCCGCGGCGACGGCGACGACCACGACCGCGCUCACCGACGACGUGCUCGCGCUGGUGGUCUUCAAGACCGGCGUGGCCGACCCGCUGGGCCGCCUCGCCCGGUGGACCGAGGACGACGACCGCCCCUGCUCCUGGCCGGGCGUCGGCUGCGACGCGCGCGCGGGCCGCGUCACCUCGCUCUCCCUCCCCGCCGCGUCGCUCUCGGGCCGCCUCCCCCGCGCGCUCCUCCGCCUCGACGCGCUCCUCUCCCUCUCCCUCCCCCGCAACAACCUCUCGGGCCCCGUGCUCCCCGGCCUCCUCGCCUCCCUCCCCCGCCUCCGCUCCCUCGACCUCGCCUCCAACCGCCUCGCCGCCACCGUCCCCGCCGACCUCUUCGCCCAAUGCCGCGACAUCCGCACCAUCUCCCUCGCCCACAACGAGCUCUCGGGCUACAUCCCGCCCGCGGUCGCCUCCUGCUCCUCGCUCCUCUCCCUCAACCUCUCCUCCAACCGCCUCGCUGGCCCGAUACCCGAUGGUAUCUGGUCGCUGCCUUCGCUCCGGUCUCUGGACCUCUCCGGGAAUUCGCUGUCGGGGAGUGUUCCUGGUGGGUUCCCCCGGAGCAGCUCGCUGCGGGCGCUGGAUUUGAGCCGUAACCUUUUCGCCGGGGAAAUACCGGCUGAUGUCGGAGAGGCGGCGCUUCUUAAAUCGCUGGAUCUCGGGCGUAACUUCUUCACCGGCGGCUUACCGGAUUCUCUCCGGAGGCUGACCGCGCUGCGGUUCCUUGGCGCCGGCAGCAAUGCGCUAGCUGGCGAGGUGCCGGCGUGGAUCGGGGAGAUGUGGUCCCUGGAGCGGCUUGACCUGUCGGGCAAUCGCUUCGCCGGCGUCAUCCCCGACGACAUCGCGAAAUGUAAGAACCUGUUGGAGGCCGAUCUCAGCCGGAACGCGCUCACUGGAGAGCUCCCCUGGUGGGUGUUCGGCCUGCCACUGCAGCGCGUCUCGGUCGCCGGCAACAAGCUCGACGGGUGGGUCAAGGUCCCCGGAGAUGCCGCGUUGGCGUUGCAUGUGCUGGACCUGUCGAGCAACGCGUUCUCCGGCGGGAUCCCGCCGCAGAUUACUGCCUUCGCGGGGUUGCAGUUUCUGAACCUGUCCUCGAAUUCCAUAUCGGGGCAGCUGCCUGCUGGCAUUGGUGGGAUGCGACUGCUGGAAGUGCUCGACGUCAGCGCUAACACGCUAACCGGAAGCGUGCCACCGGAGAUUGGUGGCGCGGUGGCGCUCCGGGUGCUGAGGAUGGGGGACAAUUCUCUCACCGGCCGCAUCCCGGCACAGAUUGGGAGCUGCAGUUCCCUCGUUGCACUGGAUUUGUCGCACAACGACAUCACGGGACCGAUUCCAAGCACCCUCGGGAACCUGACCAGUCUUCAGGCUGUUGAUCUCUCCCAGAACAAGCUGAAUGGGACCCUGCCAGUGGAGCUUUCUAAUCUGCCCAGCUUGCACAUCUUUGACGUCUCCCACAACUUGCUAUCAGGAAAUCUCCCGAACAGCCGUUUCUUCGACAAUAUCCCCGACUACUUCCUAUCAGACAAUUCCGGCCUAUGCAGCUCCAGGAAGAACAAUUCCUGCGGUGCUGUCAUGCCAAAGCCGAUUGUACUCAACCCCAAUUCCUCAUCAAACCCCUUGUCACAAUCCACACCAAGUUCCCCUAGCAGCAAGCACCACAAGAAAAUCAUACUGAGCGUCUCCACCCUCAUUGCCAUUGCGGGUGGUGCUGCCAUUGCCAUCGGAGUGAUCACUGUAACUGUGCUCAAUCGUCGUGUCCGUGCAGCCGCCUCCCACCCAAAGCCUGCUAUUGCACUAUCUGAUGAUUACCUUAGCCAAUCCCCGGAGAAUGAUGCUAGCUCUGGGAAGCUUGUCAUGUUUGGUAAAGGCAGCCCAGAGUUCAGCACUGGUGGACAUGCCUUGUUGAACAAGGACUGUGAGCUUGGGCGAGGAGGCUUUGGUGCAGUCUACAAGACGGUGCUCAGAGACGGACAGCCGGUGGCCAUCAAGAAGCUCACCGUGUCUAGCUUGGUGAAGUCUAAGGAUGACUUUGAGCGACAAGUGAAGGUGCUUAGCAAGAUGCGGCACCACAACAUUGUCACACUGAGAGGCUUUUACUGGACUUCAUCGCUGCAGCUGCUCAUCUAUGAUUACCUCCCAGGAGGAAAUCUGCACAAGCACCUCCAUGAGUGCACUGAGGAGAACACUCUUUCCUGGAUGGAGAGGUUUGACAUUAUCAUCGGUGUUGCCAGGGGACUGAUGCACCUCCACCAGCAUGGCGUCGUCCAUUACAAUCUCAAGUCAAGCAAUGUGCUGCUGGACAGCAAUGGUGAGCCCAGGGUCGGUGACUAUGGCCUUGCAAGCCUACUCCCGAUGUUAGACCGGUAUGUGCUGAGCAGUAAGAUCCAGAGUGCACUUGGAUAUAUGGCGCCAGAAUUCGCAUGCAAGACGGUGAAGAUCACCGAGAAGUGCGACGUCUACGGCUUUGGGGUGCUUGCACUGGAAAUCUUGACGGGCAGGAGGCCCGUUGAGUACUUGGAAGAUGACGUGGUCGUGCUAUGUGACUUGGUGAGAAGCGCGCUGGAGGAAGGCAGGCUGGAGGACUGCAUGGAUCCGCGACUGUGCGGCGAGUUCGCGAUGGAGGAGGCCAUUCCGAUCAUCAAGCUGGGCCUCGUUUGCACAUCGCAGGUGCCGUCGAACCGGCCGGACAUGGGCGAGGUGUUGAGUAUACUUGAUGUGGUGAGGAGCCCUCAGGACAGUCCAGGGGAUGAGAUGGUAUAA
Molecule: ribosomal RNA, 2841 nt
Filed under: Triticum aestivum (bread wheat)
Lineage: Eukaryota; Viridiplantae; Streptophyta; Magnoliopsida; Poales; Poaceae
Description: partial small subunit ribosomal RNA
Source: RNAcentral